This 182-nucleotide non-coding RNA is filed under the name Verrucomicrobiota bacterium. Its description in RNAcentral is "Verrucomicrobia bacterium (drinking water metagenome) 6S RNA". It matches the Rfam family "6S / SsrS RNA". Rfam says of the family: E. coli 6S RNA was the first non coding RNA to be sequenced, but its function was unknown until recently. It consists of 184 nucleotides that fold into an extended hairpin structure with a large single-stranded internal bulge. Lineage: Bacteria; Pseudomonadati; Verrucomicrobiota. The record is from RNAcentral. RNAcentral also lists the same sequence under 1 other name.
UUUACCCUGCUCUGUUCGUGAUUAGCAGCCAUAUCCUUGAACCGUAAUUAUACGAAUCCUGGGACGAAGCUGUGAUGGCAGCCGACAGGCCUUGAUUGGAAGUCGAAAACCAUCCUGCCAGUUCCGCAUGUUGCUACAACAUGUUCAAAGGAUCCGCCGCACACGGCAAUGGUGGGGUUAUU